AGUGAACGCUGGCGGUAGGCCUAACACAUGCAAGUCGAACGGCAGCACAGUAAGAGCUUGCUCUUACGGGUGGCGAGUGGCGGACGGGUGAGGAACACAUCGGAAUCUACUUUUUCGUGGGGGAUAACGUAGGGAGACUUACGCUAAUACCGCAUACGACCUACGGGUGAAAGCAGGGGAUCUUCGGACCUUGCGCGAUUGAAUGAGCCGAUGUGGAUUAGCUAGUUGGCGGGGUAAAGGCCCACCAAGGCGACGAUCCGUAGCUGGUCUGAGAGGAUGAUCAGCCACACUGGAACUGAGACACGGUCCAGACUCCUACGGGAGGCAGCAGUGGGGAAUAUUGGACAAUGGGCGCAAGCCUGAUCCAGCCAUACCGCGUGGGUGAAGAAGGCCUUCGGGUUGUAAAGCCCUUUUGUUGGGAAAGAAAAGCAGCAGGUUAAUACCCCGCUGUUCUGACGGUACCCAAAGAAUAAGCACCGGCUAACUUCGUG
Molecule: ribosomal RNA, 491 nt
Filed under: uncultured bacterium
Lineage: Bacteria
Description: partial 16S ribosomal RNA
Rfam family: Bacterial small subunit ribosomal RNA
Source: RNAcentral